RNAcentral lists this ribosomal RNA (136 nucleotides) under uncultured eukaryote. Its description in RNAcentral is "partial 18S ribosomal RNA". It matches the Rfam family "Eukaryotic small subunit ribosomal RNA", at positions 1299 to 1458 of the family's 1831-position model. The record is from RNAcentral.
UGGUGGAGCGAUUUGUCUGGUUAAUUCCGAUAACGAACGAGACUCUGGCCUAUUAAAUAGACGUUAUUCUUUUGUUGGUUUACGUUCUUCUUAGAGGGACAAGCAGCUCCUAGCUGCACGAGAUUGAGCAAUAACA